Molecule: long non-coding RNA, 258 nt
Organism: Oncorhynchus keta (chum salmon)
Lineage: Eukaryota; Metazoa; Chordata; Actinopteri; Salmoniformes; Salmonidae
Exons: 3
Source: RefSeq, a predicted model, not a curated record
UUAAGGUAGUUAUAGACAGUACAGCAACAAUAAUAAUAAUAAUAAUAAUAAUAAUAAGUCACUGUUUGUUAAGGUAGUUAUAGACAGUACAGCAACAAUAAUAAUAAUAAUAAUAAUAAUAAUAAUAAUAAUAAUAAUAAGUCACUGUUUGUUAAGGUAGUUAUAGACAGUACAGCAACAAUAAUAAUAAUAAUAAGUCACUGUUUGUUAAGGUAGUUCUAGACAGUACAGCAACAAUAACAAUAAUAAUAAUAAUAA